Molecule: ribosomal RNA, 254 nt
Filed under: uncultured bacterium
Lineage: Bacteria
Description: partial 16S ribosomal RNA
Rfam family: Bacterial small subunit ribosomal RNA
Source: RNAcentral
GACGUAGGGUCCAAGCGUUGUCCGGAUUUACUGGGCGUAAAGAGCGCGUAGGCGGUCUUGUAAGUGUGAAGUGAAAUCUCCAGGGCUCAACCCGGAAACUGCUUUGCAUACUGCAGGACUAGAGGGAUGCAGAGGUUUGUGGAAUUCCUGGUGUAGCGGUGAAAUGCGUUGAUAUCAGGAGGAACACCCAUGGCGAAGGCAGCAAACUGGGCAUCAUCUGACGCUGAGGCGCGAAAGCGUGGGUAGCAAACAGG